RNAcentral lists this long non-coding RNA (865 nucleotides) under Phoenix dactylifera (date palm). RNAcentral's name for it is "long non-coding RNA (PDAC_LNC014726)". Lineage: Eukaryota; Viridiplantae; Streptophyta; Magnoliopsida; Arecales; Arecaceae. The record is from RNAcentral.
AAAAAAAUAUUUAUCUCUCGUUAUUAUGGAGUGUCUUGACAAAAAAUGUUGUUUCCUAUGGGGUUUACUUCGUAAUAACUAGUUGUCUGAGGUGUGGCAAUUUAAUCUAUUAAAUAUGGAAACAAUCUUUAUGUUUGCUUAGGAUUUUUUCUUAAUGAUCUUGUUUUGAAGCCAUGUUUAUUUUUUGGCUUUCUUCUUCUAUAACUUUUUGCCAAUUUGCCUCCCCUAGUUUAUCUCAUAGUUUACUUACCUUUUCAAGCAUUGAUAAUUUUGUUAAAUCAUAAAUGCGAACACUCCAAUCACCCCUGCUGUUGCUUAGUUAGGAAACGAACCUUUUUUCUGCUUCCUCCUCCCACUUUUUAUAUUGGGCCUAAAGACCCUAGUUGUAGGCUUUCAAAUAGGUUCGGUCCAACACAAGACUUUUGGGCCCGACUUUGGGCUGAGAUUUAACAAUUUGGAUUGGGCUUGAUCUUAAGUCUUGAAGCUUUCGAGUAACUCUUGGCCCAGCACAAGAUCAAACUAAAUCCUGAAAAUGGUAUAAAUUAGGUAUAAAAUGUAUUAUUGUUAAAUACAUAUAAAGAGUAUCGGCCAUUCAUCUGAUGGAUGGCUACAUUGACUCUCAAAUUUUAAUUUUGAGAAGAAAUCCUACUUUACUCAGCCUAUGUGUCUUCUCCCUAGUCCACCUCCUCUCCUUUGACAGCCUUCCCAACUCCUCCCCUCAUCUUCCUGCCCUCCUCCCCUCAGUGCUCUAUCCUUUGCAACCUUCAUUUACUCUUCUGAAUCACUCCAUCCUCCACCUUUCACCCUCCUUCACUUCUUCCUCCAAUCACUCCAUCCUCCACCCUCCUCCUCCAUCAAUCCCUCC